Long non-coding RNA from Raphanus sativus (radish), 395 nucleotides. RefSeq lists it as uncharacterized. The transcript has 2 exons. The record is from RefSeq and is a predicted model, not a curated record. Lineage: Eukaryota; Viridiplantae; Streptophyta; Magnoliopsida; Brassicales; Brassicaceae.
AAGCUGCCCUGAUCAAACAUCUCCCUGUGGAGGCUUCUAAAGACUUCCUCUCAUCCGAAUCUCCCAUUUUUUCAGGAGAUGUCAAAGAAGAAGAUGGGUAAGGAUCUGAGUGACAAUACCUUAAGACUCUCGGUGUCCUGACAAAGAGUAUACAAAAGAAAAGAAAGACUAGAAAGUUGAGAGGAUGGAGACAAGAGAUGCUAAAAAGAGAGAAGUUGUGUGUUUAUAACAAAGAUAUGGUCUUGUGAUCUUCUUUUGUAGGUGUUUGUUUGUUCAUAUAUGUGUUGUUAGUAAAUAUCCAAUGUAUUUUAAGCAUCGAUUCUGGAGAUUACUUGGAAGUGCCCACAUGGGCAGCCUUUCCUCAAUUAUUUUUGCAAAUUUUAUAUUAUUAUCUA